Non-coding RNA from Pelobates cultripes (western spadefoot toad), 335 nucleotides. Lineage: Eukaryota; Metazoa; Chordata; Amphibia; Anura; Pelobatidae. The record is from the annotation of a GenBank genome assembly.
CAUCCUUGGUACUACACAUUUAUGUGCCUCCCACAUGCUCGGGGGGUGAUACAUCUGGGGAAGUAUUUUCCUUUAAUAUUGGACAAUGAUGUCCUUGAUCUGCGAGACUAUAGCUCUGUCAUUUAGGAGUCUAUCGUUGAACAUCCAUUGCAUAGUUAAGGUAGGAAUUGCUGGUGCAGUGAGUUGGAGGAAUAAGGGGACUGUGUAAUAGUGCCAUAGUCUGCUGCUUUUAUGAGAUGAAGAAUUCUAUGUGGCAGGGAGCAAGUGUAGUGUAUUUACAGUCCUCUGGUCAAUAAAAUGAAUAGUCUUUCUCAGUGGGGUGCCUUAUUCUCCAG